This 252-nucleotide ribosomal RNA is filed under the name uncultured bacterium. RNAcentral's name for it is "partial 16S ribosomal RNA". It matches the Rfam family "Bacterial small subunit ribosomal RNA", at positions 524 to 776 of the family's 1533-position model. The record is from RNAcentral.
UACGGAGGAUGCGAGCGUUAUCUGGAUUUAUUGGGUUUAAAGGGUGCGUAGGCGGACGCUUAAGUCAGCGGUAAAAUUGCGGGGCUCAACCUCGUCGAGCCGUUGAAACUGGGUGUCUUGAGUGGGCGAGAAGUACGCGGAAUGCGUGGUGUAGCGGUGAAAUGCAUAGAUAUUACGCAGAACUCCGAUUGCGAAGGCAGCGUACCGGCGCCCAACUGACGCUGAAGCACGAAGGCGUGGGUAUCGAACAGG